Long non-coding RNA from Gasterosteus aculeatus aculeatus (three-spined stickleback), 3066 nucleotides. NCBI's taxonomy places the organism in Eukaryota, Metazoa, Chordata, Actinopteri, Perciformes, Gasterosteidae. The record is from Ensembl.
GCCAUGUGUGUCUGUUGUCACUUGUCGCGUCAUUGUCUUUUGUCACACAUGUCCCUGUCAAUCGUCCUGCCAGCCUUUCGUUCCUGCCAGUCUUUUUGCCCUUAGUUCCUGUGUGUUUUUGCCCCUUGGCCUUUUGCUCGUUUUGACUAUUGAAGUCCUUUUUGUUUUUGAACUCUGCGUUUGAGUCCUGCCUUCCCCGCAUCCCUGACAGGCUCUUUUGUUUGCUCUUACGUCCAUAAUUUUCUUUUGCGUUCUCCCGAGGGCCCGGUCAUCCUGCCUGAUGGCGUUUUUGAUGGUCUCUGUGACAAAUCGGCAUUCAGGUUCCCAGGUGGAUGGAUGAAUGGCUCUGGGGAGAAGCCAGUGUUGUACUUAAAAUGGCCCAGGAUUUUGAGUUGCUGAUGAUGGCGGUUUACAUCUCUUUCCAGCACGCUUUCUUCGUCCUUAUUUAAAGAAAAGGUAAGAAGGGUUAAUAUUCGAGUGGGCCCUGGUGCGAAUGCACUGCUACUAAUUUAACUGAAUCAUCCAUGAGUGUGAGAUGAGCUUGGCUGUGGUUGGUGUCCAAGGAACCUGAUCACUGUUCACCUGAAACAGGUUCUCUUGGAUCCCUUUCAGGGUUCUAGUCUGCUGUCCCAGGAUGCCACUAAUGGCCACCACCAGAGUCCUCUGUCUGGGUUGUAGCUCUGAAGAAAACUGGAGAUGAAAAUUUCUGCCAUAAACACAUUUUUGGCCUGUGCCAGCAGUAUCUUUAGCUGCUUCUUCAUAUACAGUUGUGUAAAAAAGUGUUUGCCCCCUUCCUGAUUUUUUAUUUUUGCAUGUUUGUCACACUUAAAUGUUUCAAAUUAGACAAAGAUAACAAGUAAACACAAAAUGCAGUUAUUAUUAUGGGGAAAAAAUUCCAAACUUGCAUCGCCCUGUGUGAAAAAAGGAUUUCUCCCUAAACCUAAUAACUGGUUGGGCCACCCUUAGCAGCAACCGCUGCAAUCCAGCGUUUGUGAUAACUGGCAAUGAGUCUUUUACAGGGCUGUGCAGGAAUUUUGGCCCACUUCUCUUCGCAGAAUUGUUUUAAUUAAGUUUUUGAGCAUGAACCGCCUUUUUAAGAUCAUGCCACAGCAUCUCAAUUGGAUUCCGGUCGGGACUUUGACUAGGCCACUCAGUCUUCAUUUAGUUUUUCUUAAGCCAUUCAGAGGUGGAGUUGUCCUGCUGCAGAACCCAAGUGCGCUUCAGCUUGAGGUCACGCAAAACAGCCCCAGACAUCACACCACCACCACCAUAUUUUACUGUUGGUAUAAUGUUCCUUUUCUGAAAUGGCGUGUUACUUCUACGCCAGUUGUAAUGGGACAUAUGUCAGCGUAUCGUACCUUAUUUAACCUGCAUGCUUUUUGUGUGAGUUGUAAGGACUGCUGUCCCUUAUGUAAACUUCCUUUAGCUGACAAAAUAACUAUUGCUUCUACCUGUAAAUACUUGAUAAUCAACUGGCGAACCAGGUGCAAGGCGGAGUGUGGCUGAUUGGUGGAGUUUAAAAGAGCUAACGACUGCCACUACGGGGCGGACGGAGGACGAGGAGCAGCACGGACUGAACAGAGGAUAAUCUGGAUAGGAGAAACCUUGGCCACCCAGAAGAUUGGAUUGUUCCAGAUGGAUAUGUGACUGGUUAGAGGAUUGUGAUUUUAAGAGAAACAGUCUCUACGAUUUUAAGAUAUAACUUAUUCCUACCUUUUUAUAAAAAUAAAACUAUUUUCAUAGAUAUAUCCCUUCUGGUCUCUGUGUCCUGGGUGUACCGAUAUAAGAGGGGCCAUACGGCUGACACCUACACGUUCCAAAAAGUUCAACUUUUGUCCCGUCAGUCCAGAGUAUUUUCCCAAAAGUCUUUGGAAUCAUAAAGAUGUUUUCAGGCAAAACUGAGACGAGCCUUUGUUCUUUUUUCUCAGCAGUGGUUUUCGUCAAAUUCCAUUUUUUGUCUUUUUUAUUUUAUUUUUUUAUGGUGGAGUCAUGAACACUAACCUUGAUUGAAGCACGCGAGUCCUGCAGUUCUUUGGAUGUUGUUCUGGAGUCUUUUGUGACCUCUUUGAUGAGUCGUCGCUGCGCUCCUGGGGUAAUACUGGUCGGCCUCCUGGGAAGGUUCACCACUGUUCCAUGUUUUUGCGAUUUAUGGAUUGUGGCUUGCUGGAGUCCCAAAGCUUUAGAAAUGGCUUUGUAACCUUUUACAGACUGUCUGAUCUCAAUUCCUUUUUCUUAUUUGUUCCUGAAUUUCUCUGGAUCGCAGCAUGAUUUCUAGCUUUUGAGGAUCUUUUGGUUUACUUUGUCAGGCAUUAAGUGAUUUCUUGAUUUCUUGAACAGGUGGGGCAGUGAUCAGGCCUGGGUGUCGCUAGAGAUAUUGAACUCCGCUUUCCAAACAUGUGAUAAACCAGUUAGUUCAUGUUUUAACAGGGGGGCAAUUCCUUUUUCACGCAGGGCCAUGUAGGUUUGGAUUUUUUUUUCUCCCCAUAAUAACUUUCAUUUAAAAACUGCAUUUUGUGUUAUCUUUGUCUAAUAUGUAAAUGUGUUUAAUCUGAAACAUUAAAGUGUGACAAACAUGCAAAAAAAUAAGGGGGCCAACUAUUUUUCACACUAACGUCAGCUGCUGGUGAAGACGAAGGAUCUCAAAAUUUGCUUCUACUCCAUCAGUUGGUGCAACGACGUAACUGCGAUCCUACAACACUGUUCUCCUGAUCCGGAAUCUUCAACUGUAAACUUUUACUCCCCCUGUAAGUUCGCUUAAUUCAUCAGCGGACACUCGCCGACCAGAUACGGCGUGUGGAGUGGACCUACCCAGACUCCUUAGUUAUUGUCCUUGGGGACUUUAACAGAGGAAAUCUCAGCCAUGUUGCCAGUUGGUUUAACCAAUAUGAAGCCUUAGGUUGAUAGGAUGGUGACCAAUUGGAUAAAUGAGUGAAUGUGGGGUGCGAUACGGAGCGGUAGUAAUAAACAUGUCUACCUUGGUACACAGCCUGUCUCACGCACAUUAUUAAGCAAACAUUGUGGAUCAACACACCUUUACAUGAGAAUGACGCGUGUUUGCAGUGGACG